Molecule: transfer RNA, 72 nt
Filed under: Marmota monax (woodchuck)
Lineage: Eukaryota; Metazoa; Chordata; Mammalia; Rodentia; Sciuridae
Rfam family: tRNA
About the family: Transfer RNA (tRNA) molecules are approximately 80 nucleotides in length. Their secondary structure includes four short double-helical elements and three loops (D, anti-codon, and T loops).
Source: Rfam by way of RNAcentral
GGGGUUGUGGCUCAGUGGUAGAGUGCUCAUCUCGCACGUGAGAGACCCUGGGUUCAAUCCUCAGCAACACAU